UCCAAGUAAUCAAAUCUUAUAUCUAAUGCUAUUAGUGUUGCAAGAUUUUAAAUAUGUGAUUAUUUCAGAUAAAAUUAUUUUUGGAAUUUGUAAUCAAGUAAGUGAAAAAAAAAUCAAAAUCUUAUUCUUGUAGAAUAUUAGGAUAGAAAAUUUUCAUUUCAGAUUAGGAUAUUGCUUUCCUAAAUCUGUCCAAGUCCAGAACUUUUUUCCUCUUCAAACCAUUUAAAUGACUUCGAUUGUUUUUUUCAUGUAAGUGGAAAAAACACUUCAUAAGAAUACAGCUUAUUAUUGUGUUAUUAAUAUAAAGUGCACUAGGGUUUAAGUCUCUGUACCUGGUAAAUUCAUCAACUCUGCUG
RNAcentral lists this unclassified non-coding RNA (356 nucleotides) under Hevea brasiliensis (rubber tree). The record is from RNAcentral. Lineage: Eukaryota; Viridiplantae; Streptophyta; Magnoliopsida; Malpighiales; Euphorbiaceae.